GAAUACCCUGAAAAAUGUUGGCUGCCAUGACAUAAACGGAGUCCGGAUAGCCCGUUUUUUCGGGCACACCAGCUGAGCUUUUCCCACCGGACAGAGGCAGGGAAGUGAGUUGGGAGAUGAUCUCGGGAUCUUCUUCGUUCGAAAACUCCAGUUCGCCCGUGGAAUUCAGCAUGUCUGCCCCUCGCCUGUCGUGAGUCCUUCACCCUGGGGUUAGAAUUCCGAUGUUCCAGGAAACGGCUUUCCUCGCAUCUGCAGCAUGGUCUCUGUGAAGAGAGAAGAAAAUGGAGAUAAAUAGGCCGGGCGCGGUGGCUCACUCCUGUAAUCCCAGCACUUUGGGAGGUUGAGACGGGUGGAUCACCUGAGGUCAAGAGUUCAAGACCAGCCUGGCCAACAUGGUGAAAUCCUAUCUCUACUAAAAAUACAAAAAAUUAGCCUGGCGUGGUGGUGUGUGCCUGUAAUCCCAGUUACUCAGGAGACUGAGGCAGGAGAAUCCCUUGAACCCAGGAAGCGGAGGUUGCAGUGAGCUGAGCUUGUCCCACUGUACUCCAAUCUGAGUGACAAAAAAAAAAAAAAAGAAAGAA
This is a long non-coding RNA of Homo sapiens (human), 581 nucleotides long. Lineage: Eukaryota; Metazoa; Chordata; Mammalia; Primates; Hominidae. The record is from Ensembl.